RNAcentral lists this long non-coding RNA (1304 nucleotides) under Nicotiana tabacum (common tobacco). RNAcentral's name for it is "long non-coding RNA (NTAB_LNC012648)". The record is from RNAcentral. Lineage: Eukaryota; Viridiplantae; Streptophyta; Magnoliopsida; Solanales; Solanaceae.
AAAGGUUAAGCCAGUACAAGUUAAUAACACUAGAGGGCAUGAAGAUUAUUUGGCAUUGCCCGGUUUUAAAAGCUAAGGCCAGUCUGAGUUAAUAAAACUCGAGGGCAUGAAGCUUAUUUGGCAUUUCCCGAAUUUAAAGGCUAAGGCCAGUCCGAGUUAAUAAAACUCGAGGGCAUGAAGCUCAUUUGGUGUUGACCGAAUUUAAAAGCUAAGACCAAUCCAAGUUAAUAAAACUCGAGGGCAUGAAACUUAUAUGGCAUUGCCCGAAUUUAAAGGUUAAGGCCAGUCCGAUUUAAUAACACUAGAGGGCAUGAAGCUUAUUUGGCAUUGCCCGAAUUUAAAGGCUAAGGCCAGUUCGAGUUAAUCAAACAAUCGAGGGCAUGAAGCUUAUUUGGCAUUGCCCGAAUUUAAAGGCUAAGGCCAGUCCAAGUUAAUAAAACUCGAGGGCAUGAAGCUUAUUUUGCAUUGCUCGAAUUUAAAGGCUAAGUCCAGUCCUAGUUAAUCAAAAACUCGAGGGCAUGAACCUUAUUUGGCAUUGCCCGAAUUUAGAGGCUUAGGCAGUCCGAGUUAAUAAAACUCGAGGGAAUGAAGCUUAUUUGGCAUUGGCCGAAUUUAAAGACUAAGGCCAGUCCAAGUUAAUAAAACUCAAGGGCAUGAAUCUAAUUUAGCAUUGCUCUUAUUUAAAGGCUGGGUCUAGUUCGAGUUAAUAAAUCUCGAAGGCAUGAAGAUUAUUUGGCAUUGCCCAAAUUUUAAGGCUUAGGACAGUCCGAGUUAACAAAAUCCGAGGCAUGAAUCUUAUUUGGCAUUGCCGGAAUUUGAAGGUUAAGGCCAAUACGAGUUAAUAAAACUCGAGGGCAUGAAGCUUAUUUGGCAUUGCCCGAAUUUAAAGGCUAAGGUCAGUCCGAGUUAAUAAAACUCGAGGGUAUGAAGCUUAUUUGGCAUUGCCCGAAUUUAAAGGCUAAGGCUAGUACGAAUUAAUAAAACUCGAGGGCAAGAAGCUUAUCUGGCAUUGGCCAAAUUUAAAGGCUAAGGCCAGUCCGAGUUAAUAAAAACCGAGGGCAUGAAGCUUAUUUGGCAUUGCCCGAAUUUAAAGGUUAAGCCAGUACAAGUUAAUAACACUAGAGGGCAUGAAGCUUAUUUGGCAUUUUCCUGUUUUAAAAGCUAAGGCCAGUCCAAGUUAAUAAAACUCGAGGGCAUGAAGCUUAUUUUGCAAUGCCCAAAUUUAAAGGCUAAGGCCAGUCCGAGUUAAUAAAACCCGAUGGCAUGAAGCUUAUUUGGCAUUGGCCGAAUUUAAAGUUUAAGGC